Molecule: long non-coding RNA, 4160 nt
Filed under: Taeniopygia guttata (zebra finch)
Lineage: Eukaryota; Metazoa; Chordata; Aves; Passeriformes; Estrildidae
Description: lncRNA (ENSTGUG00000023646.1)
Source: RNAcentral
UUUUUUUUUUUUUUAACCUCACAUUUUGGACAGAAAGCACUUGUGUUCCUUGAGAAACCUUCCUCCAGACAAACUGAGGACACUGAAGCAACUCGGGAAGCCCAGCUGCUCCAACAGCUCUGUCUUGAUUUUGGACGCGGAGGAAACACAACCCUUUCCUCCAUCAGCUCCUUCCUCACCUGCCAGGAUGAUGGAUGCUAAUCAGCUGCCUUCUUCAGCUAAUUAGUCAGGUAUCCCAUGCUUUACUCUGACUUCCUCGUAAGCCAAGCAACCUUGGUAACCCACUGAUACUUCAGGGGCGUGUCUGAGUCCUGGAAAUCUCAGUUCCUACCACAUCUUAUCUAUGUGCUGAAGGAAAAUUGCGUUGCUGCCGUUGUACUGCAGCACGGUGCAUGUUAGAGAACUCGUAAUUGUAUAACUGCAGGGAAAAGGAGUGACUUUAAAGCUACCUGUGAUAGUAAAAGGGUUUUUAAAUCAUGGGGAUUCAGGGUUAAAAGGAAAAUUAAGCUUAGUAGGCCCUGAAAAGAAAAAUAAAUACCCUAGGUACAUGAAGACCUUGUACCUUGCUAUAACUGCACCUGUGUAGCUAGUACAUGAUAAAUGAUAUAAUUGUUAGAUGGGAUGAUUGUUUAGUAAUUAAAUAUAAUUGCUGUUUAAUCAUAAGAAUAAUCAUGAGAAACUGUGGUCAGGGGCCUAAGAAAGAUCACGAGAAACUCAUGUCAAUGUAUACAGUAGAACAACAUGAGUUUAAUAAUUAAUAUGUAAGUUAUAUAAGGAUAGAAUAUAAAAUACGUAGAGCUCAAAAGUCAUGUCGGAGUCAGAUUUGGGUCUGUACCCCUGAUUCCAGAGCUCUUAAUAAAAGAACCUGCAUAAAAUCACAUCCUGUGAUUAUGUGUGUUCCUGAACACUAACACCUGCCAUACAAUACCUUCCUUUAAGUUGGUUCAUGUGUGAAAGCCCCUGUUGCAUCACUGAGAUGCCCUGGAAUAGUGCCAGAGCGUGUGGCUGGGUGCCUGAUGAGGCAGCUCUGGCUGUGGAUCACAGGCUCCAUCCAUAGCUGCAGGCAGAACUCCUCCCAGACAGAUUAGUACAAAUUCAUGUGUGCAUCCAGCAAUCCUGCUGGCAUUUCUCCUUCCCCUCGCACACACAUCCUCCCAGCCGCUGGAACGGGGCUCACAGAGAUUGCAUCUAGGAGAGCUCCACAGAACAGCUCAUUUCUGAAAUACCUAUCAGCUGUCCAUCACAGCUCAGAUCCAGCUGCAAAUGCUGUUUGCAACAGCUCAGAAACCCUGCAGCUAUUCAGCCUGGGCAGUAAGAGCAAAGAUGACAAGCCCAAAAUGACAGCUCUUAACUCAUUGCCUAAUUCCUUUCCAUGAAAUAAAGCCUUUUCCUCCUUCCCUUGUGAACUAGGUAACAGAUUGCAAAGUUUUCAGAGGAAAAAAAGUGGGAAAUCUCACAUAUGUGUCUUGAAGAUAUGUCUUAGGUGUGCAUAGGAGGAAAGAAACUCACUCAGACUGUUUCUUAAACUCCAGCACAGUUCUGUGCAUCCAGCAGUCAGCUCCUGCUGUCAUUUGUCUGUGCUUUUUCUCUGGGCUUAAGUGAAAGGAUUGCUCAGCUAUAGGUCAUCUUCAAUUUUUAUAAUACCUGUUUUGAUAAUCCAAAUUUUACCACAGGUUAAAAGAAAAACUCCAAUCAUUUUUAAGGCACUUGAGUAGUCUCCCAUUCAUUCCACAACAUAUACAUGUUCCAAUUUCUCAUCUUCUUUGCAGUCCUUUCCUAAUAACCCUUGGCACUGAAGAGGAUUAAGCAACAGAUGAUUUUGCAAAUCAUAUCACACUUGCUAAGCAUUAACUGAAUGCCAUUAAAGGUCCAAGCACCUCAGCUGGACUUGCAGGUAUUUCUCUUCCUGCACAAACAGCACUGAAGAGCUCACAGGAAACAGCAGAAAUGCAAGAGAUGGCUAUGCAAACAAACUUCAGUGUUUUGUCAGGGUUGGUUUUUAGUCCUGCACCUCUCCGUCCCAGGAAUCAGCCAGCCAUAAGAAAUCCUUUUCCUAAAUCACCGUGGGGCGCUGUAAGCUGCCCCAGUAUUGCCCUUUUACCUGGUAUCUUUAGAUAUAUUACAGUCCACUUAGCCAAGGUGUCAUGAGGGAACACAUUUCUGUCCUUUCUUUUAAGAGUGAUAUAUUUGGUGAUCUUUUUCCCCCCUAAACAUUAACAACCAGAAAAAUGGAAAGACAAACAUACCAUCAAGAGAUUUGAACUAUUUCCUCUCUGCUGUGGAAAAGGGUGAAUUAGUUAAAAGGCAAUAAAAAGUGAUGGAUUUUUGGGAGAGCAAAAUUAGCUAUGAUACAUUUUAAAGUACUUUUGAUAUAUUUAUUAAAAGUCAAGAUGUGCUUCAAAAGAAAUCCCAGUACGCUUCCAAAAAACUGCAUGGCUCAAAAAAGAUGCACUUAAGAAAUGAAUCAACACUUUUUUUUUCAAAUUUGCAUUGGGAUUUAUCUGUGUUGUACCAGUAGUAGGGAAGGUUUUGCUGCAGCAUUCUAAUUAGUACAGAUCUUAUCUAAGUUUGAGCACUCUAAAUUCACAACAAUAGAUAAGAUGUGUUUAUGCACAUUUUACAGUAUUUAGAAUAGAAUAGUUUUCCCCUCCCCUGCCUAUACUGCAGUCCCUGUAGGAAAUGUAAAGAAAAUAGGGUGGACAUUGCUGAUGGCAAUGCACCAGUGAGGUGGCAUUCAUUAUCUUCUCCUGCAUAAUUAGAUUUAGGUAUGUCACCUUUUAAAAUAUAGCAUAAGCAGUUGAUUAACUUCUAUUUCCUACUUAUAAGCCCAUAAAGAGACCAAAGGAAAACAGAUGGAGGAGGGAGGGGUGCUGAGGCAGUGAGGCAAGGAAGGGGGAAGGCACAAUUUAAGAAUUGCUUGAGACUGCAGUCGAUUAGGAAAACAAGGUAUGGAAACUCAUACACACACAAACACACUCCUCCUGUUAUUCAAGGCUCAGCACAUCCUCCAGAGGACAGCUUAAUGGCCACUAUCUACCUUGACCAGAUGAAGUCCCUUCUCUUAAUCCCCAUUCCUCCUGAACUUGAAUCCACUGCUAUUUAGGUUUGUCAUAAAAUAUUUCACUAGCUUUGCCAUGCUAUUACCUAAUCAGUGAGUGUAUUAUAUCACAAUAACUUGUAUGUGUUCCCCUUGGCACAGGAGCAGAGGACAGGUAACUCUGCUUUCCUGAACUAGCUGUAAACCCUGGAUUAAUAUAAAGAAAAAACACAACCUUUCUUCCUUAGCAACCCCAAUUUUUUUCUCUUCUUCCCACUAUUUACUCAAUGCCUCACUAACUUUAACAAUGCCUGCAGCAGGCAGAACAAGCCAGUUACCUCUCAGACCCAGCAGGCACAUCUGGGCACAUCUGUGGGGGCUCCCCAGGCUGGGGCAGAGGGAAGCUGGGCACAGGCAGUGCCAGCCCAGCUCUCUGGCUCUGGAACUGCACCACUCACCACACCACUGGCUGCAUGGAGCACCCUGCAGCCUCCAGGAAUGGCCACUGGGCAUCUGGCAGGAUUUAAAGUCUAACCUGCAAAACAGGCAAGGAUCAAAACCUGAAUUAAAUUGAAAACCUGUUAGCGCUCCCAUGGCUGCCACACUCCAGGUACAUAAAUCAUGGCAGGUGUGUGUCGCUGACCUGUAAAGAGUCUGUUUUCUUCAAAGAACAACAGCUUAAGUGAAAACUACCUUGCCAAGAUAUAAUGACCUCCCUUUCCCCAGCCUGAACUGGGGAAAGCUAUUAAAAACUACUAGAAUAUAAAAGGCAAAAUAUUUAUUGCAUGGUUACUUAUACAUGCUACAUAGUCACCUUGAAUAAUAAUAUCGCUCCUACUUUUAGCUGCAUUUUUAAACUUCUAGAAUUUUCUUCAAGCCAAAAGAAAAAAAUAAGAUUAUAUUCCAUUGUAUGCUCAGUGACUGCUAAAAAUCCUGUGAUUUCGAGUUCUGCUAACAUAGAACAUAUUCAGUGUUUUGCUAUUAUGUAUUAAAAGUAUUAAAAGUAAAUGGUAAAGCAAACAGGGCUCUGACUGUUGUGAAUUUUUGGAGGUUUUUGACAGAGAUAGAAAUUACAUAUAUCAGCAAAUAUUCUUCAGUGCUUCACCGAUGCUCCCCCUGAGCA